ACUGCUCAGUAACACGUGGACAACCUGCCCUUAGGUUGGGUAUAAACCCGGGAAACUGGGUAUAAUACCCGAUAGGUCUCGAUUGCUGGAAUGCAUCGAGAUUUAAAGCUCCGGCGCCUAAGGAUGGGUCUGCGGCCUAUCAGGUAGUAGUGGGUGUAGCGUACCUACUAGCCUACGACGGGUACGGGUUGUGAGAGCAAGAGCCCGGAGAUGGAUUCUGAGACACGAAUCCAGGCCCUACGGGGUGCAGCAGGCGCGAAAACUUUACAAUGCUGGCAACAGCGAUAAGGGAACCUCGAGUGCCAGGUUACAAAUCUGGCUGUCGAGAUGCCUAAAAAGCAUUUCGUAGCAAGGGCCGGGCAAGACCGGUGCCAGCCGCCGCGGUAACACCGGCGGCUCGAGUGGUAACCGUUAUUAUUGGGUCUAAAGGGUCUGUAGCCGGCCGGAUAAGUCUCUUGAGAAAUCUGGCAGCUUAACUGUCAGGCUUUCAGGAGAUACUGUCUGGCUCGAGGCCGGGAGAGGUGAGAGGUACUUCAGGGGUAGGGGUGAAAUCUUGUAAUCCUUGAAGGACCACCAGUGGCGAAGGCGUCUCACCAGAACGGACCUGACGGCAAGGGACGAAAGCUAGGGGCACGAACCGGAUUAGAUACCCGGGUAGUCCUAGCCGUAAACGAUACUCGCUAGGUGUCGGCCACGGUGCGACCGUUGUCGGUGCCGUAGGGAAGCCGUGAAGCGAGCCACCUGGGAAGUACGGCCGCAAGGCUGAAACUUAAAGGAAUUGGCGGGGGAGCAC
Molecule: ribosomal RNA, 793 nt
Filed under: uncultured archaeon
Lineage: Archaea
Description: bacterial SSU rRNA
Rfam family: Archaeal small subunit ribosomal RNA
Source: RNAcentral